Molecule: ribosomal RNA, 380 nt
Filed under: uncultured bacterium
Lineage: Bacteria
Description: bacterial SSU rRNA
Rfam family: Bacterial small subunit ribosomal RNA
Source: RNAcentral
GACGAACGCUGGCGGCGUGCUUAACACAUGCAAGUCGAGCGGUAAGGCCCUUUCGGGGGUACACGAGCGGCGAACGGGUGAGUAACACGUGGGUGACCUGCCCUCAGCUCUGGGAUAAGCCUGGGAAACCGGGUCUAAUACCGGAUAUGACUCCAUGACGCAUGUUGUGGGGUGGAAAGCCUUGUGCGGCUGAGGAUGGGCCCGCGGCCUAUCAGCUUGUUGGUGGGGUGAUGGCCUACCAAGGCGACGACGGGUAGCCGGCCUGAGAGGGCGACCGGCCACACUGGGACUGAGACGCGGCCCAGACUCCUACGGGAGGCAGCAGUGGGGAAUCUUGCGCAAUGGGCGAAAGCCUGACGCAGCGACGCCGCGUGAGGGAU